UGAUUGAGCCUGGCGAAGCCUGAGCACAAUGCCGCGUGAGGGAAGACGGCCUUCGGGUUGUAAACCUCUUUCAGUCGGGAAGAAGGGUGGACGGUUAAUAGCCGGCUCACUUGACGGUACCUUCAGAAGAAGCUCCGGCUAACUACGUGCCAGCAGCCGCGGAAAAACGUAGGGAGCAAGCGUUGUCCGGAAUCAUUGGGCGUAAAGCGCGUGUAGGCGGUUACAUAAGUCUGUUGUGAAAGUCGGAGGCUCAACCUUCGAAAGCCGAUGGAUACUGUGUGACUUGAGUACGGAAGAGGAGAGUGGAAUUCCUGGUGUAGCGGGGGAAAUUCGGGGAUAUCAGGAGGAACACCUACAGCGAAGGCAGCUCUCUGGGACGUUCCUGACGCUGACCCCGA
This 398-nucleotide ribosomal RNA is filed under the name uncultured bacterium. RNAcentral describes it as "bacterial SSU rRNA". It matches the Rfam family "Bacterial small subunit ribosomal RNA", at positions 358 to 756 of the family's 1533-position model. The record is from RNAcentral.